RNAcentral lists this ribosomal RNA (440 nucleotides) under Bacteroidetes bacterium BAL138. RNAcentral describes it as "partial 16S ribosomal RNA". It matches the Rfam family "Bacterial small subunit ribosomal RNA", at positions 55 to 496 of the family's 1533-position model. Lineage: Bacteria; Pseudomonadati; Bacteroidota. The record is from RNAcentral.
AUGCAAGUCGAGGGGUAUUUAUCUUCGGAUAGAGAGACCGGCGCACGGGUGCGUAACGCGUAUGCAAUCUACCUUUUACAGAGGGAUAGCCCAGAGAAAUUUGGAUUAAUACCUCAUAGYAUAUMDASAUGGCAUCRWKMUUVUAUUAAAGUCACAACGGUAAAAGAUGAGCAUGCGUCCCAUUAGCUAGUUGGUAAGGUAACGGCUUACCAAGGCUACGAUGGGUAGGGGUCCUGAGAGGGAGAUCCCCCACACUGGUACUGAGACACGGACCAGACUCCUACGGGAGGCAGCAGUGAGGAAUAUUGGACAAUGGGCGCAAGCCUGAUCCAGCCAUGCCGCGUGCAGGAUGACGGUCCUAUGGAUUGUAAACUGCUUUUAUACGAGAAGAAACACUACUUCGUGAAGUAGCUUGACGGUAUCGUAAGAAUAAGGAUCGG